GUUUCGCCCGGUCGUCGUCGGGCCCGUUCGGAAGGAGCGCUUUUAUAGAUCAAAACCGGCCAAGCGCCCGGGAUUGCGUUUCGCGCGCACAUUCGGACGUAAGUUGCCCGCGCAAAGACUUGACGACUCUGAAUAACUUCGAGCUGAUCGCACGGUCCUAGUACCGGCGACGUAUCUUUCAAAUGUCUGCCUUAUCAACUGUCGACGGUAGGUUCUACGCCUACCGUGGUGGUAACGGGUAACGGGGAAUCAGGGUUCGAUUCCGGAGAGGGAGCCUGAGAAACGGCUACCACAUCCAAGGAAGGCAGCAGGCACGAAAAUUAUCCAUUCAGGACUCCUGGAGAUAGUGACGAAAAAUAACGAUACGGGACUCAUCCGAGGCCCCGUAAUCGGAAUGAGUACACUUUAAAACCUUGGUCACACGAGGAUCAAUUGGAGGGCAAG
This 444-nucleotide ribosomal RNA is filed under the name Ceroplastes sp. CCG-AL-30. RNAcentral's name for it is "bacterial SSU rRNA". It matches the Rfam family "Eukaryotic small subunit ribosomal RNA", at positions 174 to 559 of the family's 1831-position model. Lineage: Eukaryota; Metazoa; Arthropoda; Insecta; Hemiptera; Coccidae. The record is from RNAcentral.